GACGAACGCUGGCGGCGUGCUUAACACAUGCAAGUCGAACGCAGAAGCUUGGUGCUUGCUCUGGGGAGGUUAGUGGCGAACGGGUGAGUAAUACGUGGAUAACCUGCCUUUGAGUCUGGGAUAAGCCUGGGAAACUGGAUCUAAUACUGGAUAAUACAUGUCACCGCAUGGUGGUGUGUGGAAAGGGGUUUAUGGGUUUUGGAUGGGCUCACGGCCUAUCAGCUUGUUGGUGGGGUAAUGGCUCACCAAGGCGACGACGGGUAGCCGGCCUGAGAGGGUGACCGGCCACACUGGGACUGAGACACGGCCCAGACUCCUACGGGAGGCAGCAGUGGGGAAUAUUGCACAAUGGGCGGAAGCCUGAUGCAGCGACGCCGCGUGAGGGAUGACGGCCUUCGGGUUGUAAACCUCUUUCAGCACGGAAGAAGCGAAAGUGACGGUACGUGCAGAAGAAGCGCCGGCUAACUACGUG
This 472-nucleotide ribosomal RNA is filed under the name uncultured bacterium. RNAcentral's name for it is "partial 16S ribosomal RNA". It matches the Rfam family "Bacterial small subunit ribosomal RNA", at positions 28 to 507 of the family's 1533-position model. The record is from RNAcentral.